GACGAACGCUGGCGGCGCGCCUAACACAUGCAAGUCGAACGAGCGAGAGAGAGCUUGCUUUCUCGAGCGAGUGGCGAACGGGUGAGUAACGCGUGAGGAACCGGCCUCAAAUAUGGGGACAACAGUUGGAAACGACUGCUAAUACCGCAUAAGCCCACGACCCGGCAUCGGGUAGAGGGAAAAGGAGCAAUCCGCGUUGAGAUGGCCUCGCGUCCGAUUAGCUAGGUGGUGGGGUAACGGCCCACCAAGGCGACGAUCGGUAGACGGACUGAGAGGUUGAACGGACACAUUGGGACUGAGACACGGCCCAGACUACUACGGGAGGCAGCAGUGGGGAAUAUUGCACAAUCGGGGAAACCCUGAUGCAGCGACGCCGCGUGGAGGAAGAAGGUCUUCGGAUUGUAAAGUCCUGUUGUUGAGGAAGAUAAUGACGGUACUCAACAAGGAAGUGACGGCUAACUACGUG
This 466-nucleotide ribosomal RNA is filed under the name uncultured bacterium. RNAcentral's name for it is "partial 16S ribosomal RNA". It matches the Rfam family "Bacterial small subunit ribosomal RNA", at positions 28 to 507 of the family's 1533-position model. The record is from RNAcentral.